Molecule: ribosomal RNA, 739 nt
Filed under: uncultured bacterium
Lineage: Bacteria
Description: bacterial SSU rRNA
Rfam family: Bacterial small subunit ribosomal RNA
Source: RNAcentral
UUGUUCGUGAAAUCUCACGGCUUAACUGUGAGCGUGCGGGCGAUACGGGCAGACUUGAGUACUGCAGGGGAGACUGGAAUUCCUGGUGUAGCGGUGGAAUGCGCAGAUAUCAGGAGGAACACCGGUGGCGAAGGCGGGUCUCUGGGCAGUAACUGACGCUGAGGAGCGAAAGCGUGGGGAGCGAACAGGAUUAGAUACCCUGGUAGUCCACGCCGUAAACGGUGGGUACUAGGUGUGGGUUUCCUUCCUUGGGAUCCGUGCCGUAGCUAACGCAUUAAGUACCCCGCCUGGGGAGUACGGCCGCAAGGCUAAAACUCAAAGAAAUUGACGGGGGCCCGCACAAGCGGCGGAGCAUGUGGAUUAAUUCGAUGCAACGCGAAGAACCUUACCUGGGUUUGACAUGCACAGGACGCCGGCAGAGAUGUCGGUUCCCUUGUGGCCUGUGUGCAGGUGGUGCAUGGCUGUCGUCAGCUCGUGUCGUGAGAUGUUGGGUUAAGUCCCGCAACGAGCGCAACCCUUGUCUCAUGUUGCCAGCGGGUAAUGCCGGGGACUCGUGAGAGACUGCCGGGGUCAACUCGGAGGAAGGUGGGGAUGACGUCAAGUCAUCAUGCCCCUUAUGUCCAGGGCUUCACACAUGCUACAAUGGCCGGUACAAAGGGCUGCGAUGCCGCGAGGUUAAGCGAAUCCUUUUAAAGCCGGUCUCAGUUCGGAUCGGGGUCUGCAACUCGACCCAGUGAAG